UUCUGUAUGCAUGUUUCCUUGAUGCUUUAAGGGGUUUUUGGGGAGUUGUUUAUGAGUUGUUUCGGGUGUGUUUGGCACCUCACUAGAGUCCACCUGUGUAGGAUCGGACCCGAGGAACCGAGGUGUUUAGCAGUGUCAGCCGUUUCAGAGUCGGCCCAGAGCUAGUCAGAGGUGAGUGGAACUAAACCUAAUGCUUUAAAUUAAGAAAUUAAAUGUUUUUAGAGCAUGAUCCAUGCAUCAUGAAAUGCCAUGAUAUGUAUU
RNAcentral lists this long non-coding RNA (261 nucleotides) under Manihot esculenta (cassava). Its description in RNAcentral is "long non-coding RNA (MESC_LNC012279)". The record is from RNAcentral. Lineage: Eukaryota; Viridiplantae; Streptophyta; Magnoliopsida; Malpighiales; Euphorbiaceae.